RNAcentral lists this transfer RNA (70 nucleotides) under Micromonospora ureilytica. RNAcentral describes it as "tRNA-OTHER". Lineage: Bacteria; Bacillati; Actinomycetota; Actinomycetes; Micromonosporales; Micromonosporaceae. The record is from RNAcentral.
GGCGGCAGAUGGCCCAGCAGCCGCUAAACCGUUCCUAAACCGUGUGUCGCAGGUUCGAAUCCUGCCGGGG